CAGAAUAACAACAGUGUUUCUUUUCAUAUUUCUGUCUUCAGAAUAGCUUCAGGGAGUUUGGCCUGGUUGUAAUUGGUAAGAAAAACAGGAAUCUUCAAUUCUUUCUGGUGUUGCUUUGUUUCACUUGUAUCACCGACAGCUAGUAGUUACACGCAAAAAAAGUUUUCUUAGCAUUCUACCUAGUAAUUCCAGAUGCGACACCAGUGAUCUGGAUGCUACUCAGGGUGGACGAUAUGAAAGCAGCUCUUCGUAAAAGCCAACCUUUGAAGCCCUCUGUGACCAGCUCUGCCACUCAGCAUCUGCUGAUGCCUGACAGGCCCUAUUCCCUGGUCUAAAUCCCCAGGUUUACAGGAACCAGGAAUGUCUGGAACAGCUGUGACCUGUGGACAACAUGGAAAAUCACAUCAAGAACAUCGAUUACUGUAAGAACUAAUGACUACUCCCAAACAAGUACAUCACAACCUGUACCUAAAACUAAUGGACACUACUCAAAGACCCACCUUAAAUGAAACUCCAAGAUAUAAUAAUAUGAUCUGGCCCUUUCGAUACAUUAACAGAGCUCUGUCAAGAUGGGGCUCAGUAUGGCAGAGAGCAAUAAACCUAGCUCUGUAUAGCUUAUACUGGUGAUAUUUGGGAAACCAGCAAUCAACAAUGUAGAAAAACUACAUAAUACAUGAAUGCAGAAAAAGAAAAAAGGAAUAUGUAAAAAAUAUUAAGUUAGAGGCUGUUAUGAGUUUUUAAAAACUUUUAUAUGGUUUUUCUCAUAUAUUGAGAGGAAGACAUACUUCAACCACUAACAAAGUUCAUUUUUGCAUAAGCCACUUUUUUUUUUUUUUGGUACUGGGGAUUGAACUUGGGAACUCUGCGCUUGCGAGGCAGGCACCGGAACCACUGAGCUAAAUCCCCGGCCCUGCACAAGCCACUUUUUAAUGUGUAAACAGCAAAUAAAGGCAAAGUUGUGUAACUUAUGCUCUUUUUUGUCUUUUGUAGAACAAUUAUUAAUAAUCCACAGGGCAGCUCAUAUAAGUAGGAAACUGAGCUGUUAUGCUUGGAGAUUUAAAAUAAUUACGGC
Molecule: long non-coding RNA, 1072 nt
Filed under: Heterocephalus glaber (naked mole-rat)
Lineage: Eukaryota; Metazoa; Chordata; Mammalia; Rodentia; Bathyergidae
Description: lncRNA (ENSHGLG00000032387.1)
Source: RNAcentral